UUGAUCCUGGCUCAGAUUGAACGCUGGCGGCAGGCCUAACACAUGCAAGUCGAGCGGUAGCACAGAGAGCUUGCUCUCGGGUGACGAGCGGCGGACGGGUGAGUAAUGUCUGGGAAACUGCCUGAUGGAGGGGGAUAACUACUGGAAACGGUAGCUAAUACCGCAUAAUGUCGCAAGACCAAAGUGGGGGACCUUCGGGCCUCAUGCCAUCAGAUGUGCCCAGAUGGGAUUAGCUAGUAGGUGGGGUAACGGCUCACCUAGGCGACGAUCCCUAGCUGGUCUGAGAGGAUGACCAGCCACACUGGAACUGAGACACGGUCCAGACUCCUACGGGAGGCAGCAGUGGGGAAUAUUGCACAAUGGGCGCAAGCCUGAUGCAGCCAUGCCGCGUGUGUGAAGAAGGCCUUCGGGUUGUAAAGCACUUUCAGCGGGGAGGAAGGCGUUAAGGUUAAUAACCUUGGCGAUUGACGUUACCCGCAGAAGAAGCACCGGCUAACUCCGUGCCAGCAGCCGCGGUAAUACGGAGGGUGCAAGCGUUAAUCGGAAUUACUGGGCGUAAAGCGCACGCAGGCGGUCUGUCAAGUCGGAUGUGAAAUCCCCGGGCUCAACCUGGGAACUGCAUUCGAAACUGGCAGGCUAGAGUCUUGUAGAGGGGGGUAGAAUUCCAGGUGUAGCGGUGAAAUGCGUAGAGAUCUGGAGGAAUACCGGUGGCGAAGGCGGCCCCCUGGACAAAGACUGACGCUCAGGUGCGAAAGCGUGGGGAGCAAACAGGAUUAGAUACCCUGGUAGUCCACGCCGUAAACGAUGUCGAUUUGGAGGUUGUGCCCUUGAGGCGUGGCUUCCGGAGCUAACGCGUUAAAUCGACCGCCUGGGGAGUACGGCCGCAAGGUUAAAACUCAAAUGAAUUGACGGGGGCCCGCACAAGCGGUGGAGCAUGUGGUUUAAUUCGAUGCAACGCGAAGAACCUUACCUGGUCUUGACAUCCACAGAACUUUCCAGAGAUGGAUUGGUGCCUUCGGGAACUGUGAGACAGGUGCUGCAUGGCUGUCGUCAGCUCGUGUUGUGAAAUGUUGGGUUAAGUCCCGCAACGAGCGCAACCCUUAUCCUUUGUUGCCAGCGGUUCGGCCGGGAACUCAAAGGAGACUGCCAGUGAUAAACUGGAGGAAGGUGGGGAUGACGUCAAGUCAUCAUGGCCCUUACGACCAGGGCUACACACGUGCUACAAUGGCAUAUACAAAGAGAAGCGACCUCGCGAGAGCAAGCGGACCUCAUAAAGUAUGUCGUAGUCCGGAUUGGAGUCUGCAACUCGACUCCAUGAAGUCGGAAUCGCUAGUAAUCGUAGAUCAGAAUGCUACGGUGAAUACGUUCCCGGGCCUUGUACACACCGCCCGUCACACCAUGGGAGUGGGUUGCAA
Molecule: ribosomal RNA, 1415 nt
Filed under: uncultured bacterium
Lineage: Bacteria
Description: bacterial SSU rRNA
Rfam family: Bacterial small subunit ribosomal RNA
Source: RNAcentral